Molecule: microRNA precursor, 58 nt
Filed under: Nomascus leucogenys (northern white-cheeked gibbon)
Lineage: Eukaryota; Metazoa; Chordata; Mammalia; Primates; Hylobatidae
Description: mir-1234 microRNA precursor family
Rfam family: mir-1234 microRNA precursor family
Source: Rfam by way of RNAcentral
UGGGGUGGGGCCAGGGACAGCUUGGGCCUGCCUAGUCGGCCUGACCACCCACCCCACA